This 386-nucleotide ribosomal RNA is filed under the name uncultured eukaryote. Its description in RNAcentral is "SSU rRNA". It matches the Rfam family "Eukaryotic small subunit ribosomal RNA", at positions 587 to 972 of the family's 1831-position model. The record is from RNAcentral.
AGCUCUGUAAGCGUAUACCAAAGUUGUUGCAGUUAAAACGCUCGUAGUCGGAUUUUGGCGUGGUGCUUAUUAGGUGCCCAAUUAUUUGGUGUGCCGAUUUAUAGUCCCGCCUUUGCGGAGGGGGGCGUGGUGGCUCUUUAUUGAGUUGCUGCGUUUCCGCCGCUGUUUACUGUGAAAAAAUUAGAGUGUUCAAAGCGAGCGAUUGCCAUAUGAAUAGAUUAGCAUGGAAUAAUAGAAUAGGACCUGGUUCUGUUUUAUUGGUUUGUCGGUUUCAGGUAAUGAUUAAGAGGGACGGUCGGGGGCAUUUGUAUUCCAGGGUUAGAGGUGAAAUUCUUAGAUCCUUGGAAGACAAACAGCUGCGAAAGCGUCUGCCAAGGACGUUUUCA